GACGAACGCUGGCGGCGUGCUUAACACAUGCAAGUCGAACGGAAGGGCCCUGCUUUUGUGGGGUGCUCGAGUGGCGAACGGGUGAGUAACACGUGAGUAACCUGCCCUUGACUUUGGGAUAACUUCAGGAAACUGGGGCUAAUACCGGAUAGGAGCUCCUGCUGCAUGGUGGGGGUUGGAAAGUUUCGGCGGUUGGGGAUGGACUCGCGGCUUAUCAGCUUGUUGGUGGGGUAGUGGCUUACCAAGGCUUUGACGGGUAGCCGGCCUGAGAGGGUGACCGGCCACAUUGGGACUGAGAUACGGCCCAGACUCCUACGGGAGGCAGCAGUGGGGAAUAUUGCACAAUGGGCGGAAGCCUGAUGCAGCAACGCCGCGUGCGGGAUGACGGCCUUCGGGUUGUAACCCGCUUUCGCCUGUGACGAAGCGUGAGUGACGGUAAUGGGUAAAGAAGCACCGGCUAACUACGUG
Molecule: ribosomal RNA, 468 nt
Filed under: uncultured bacterium
Lineage: Bacteria
Description: partial 16S ribosomal RNA
Rfam family: Bacterial small subunit ribosomal RNA
Source: RNAcentral